UUAAGUUCAGCGGGUAUCCCUACCUGAUCCGAGGUCAAACUUGGGGUGGAGGCUUCCUGGAGAGCCAGGCACCGUCGGACGCCGCGCGCGUUUCUGCUGCGCUCGAAGCCAACGUACCGGCUGCCAAUGCAUUUGAGGCGAGUCCCCGGGAGGACAGACGCCCAACACCAAGCCAUGAGGGGGGCUUGAAGUUUGAAAUG
This 200-nucleotide unclassified non-coding RNA is filed under the name Lophiotrema sp. Its description in RNAcentral is "partial internal transcribed spacer 2". The record is from RNAcentral. Lineage: Eukaryota; Fungi; Ascomycota; Dothideomycetes; Pleosporales; Lophiotremataceae.